Capsicum annuum is the source of this 5050-nucleotide long non-coding RNA. RefSeq lists it as uncharacterized. Lineage: Eukaryota; Viridiplantae; Streptophyta; Magnoliopsida; Solanales; Solanaceae. The transcript is spliced from 7 exons. The record is from RefSeq and is a predicted model, not a curated record.
UAGUGACCCAAAUCUUCCCAAAUGCAAAAUCCAAAAAAAUAAAAAAAAUCUAAAUAUAAUACGUCAAAAGAAUAAUCAAGAAUUGGCAAGUUCAUUUAUCUUCCUCGGUAGCUACCCUCUUCAUUCCAGCUGAAAUCCUAUCUCAAAAUUGAUGAAACAACUUGGAGUAAGUCAAAGCUUGUAUCUAUACUUCACAUUUUUGCAUCUUCUCAAGUUUGGGUUAUUUUCAAUCUUUGUGUUCAAGCUUCUCACGAACACCAUGAAAACAAUCCCAUUGAAUACUUCUUCAACUUAAGAAGAGAAGAUCUGCUAGAGCUAGUAACACUGCAUAGAUCAAGAACUCUACAACAAUGACAUUAAUCUCUCUUAUCAACUAUUGUGACCUUUUGUCUCCCUCGGCCUUUGUUGUUGUAUUGGUACCAGAAGAUGAACUAAAUGAUGGCAUCGUAGUUCUGAGACAUAGGGACUUCUACUGAAGGUCUUAACCUAACUGACGGGGUGAGUCUUCAUCCCUGCAUUCGCUCGGUGCUAAGUAUUACUCCUAACUGAAUAAGAAUUGAUAACCAGAAUGAUCAUUAAUAAUAAUAUUCUGAAGACUAAAAAUAAGUACUUUAUUUGAAAGAAUUUAAAACCAUGAAAACUGAAGGAUUGAAUAUUCAUAAAUAUAUGCAUGAAAUCCUAGGUUAUCAGGUGUUCAUAACUCGCCAUCUCUGAAGAAUACAACUACAAUGAGAAUUACCAUAAACUGAAUAAAAUAAGAAAUUUUAUAACUCAAGUUUGUGAAUCAAAAAUUACAUAAUAUAAUGAGGGAUUGAAAUUAUAGAGAUACAAUGAUAGUUAAAUUCAUGGUAAAACAUGGGUUUAUAUCUCAAUGACAAAGAACUUAAUUAUCAAGUAAUUCACAAUAAUCAUGACCCUUAGGCUUUGAGAAAAGAAUUAAACUAAGGAUUUUAGUUAACGUUGGGAUUCAAUGGUGAAAGGAAACUCAUUAAUGAAACUACAAAUACCUGAGGGUAGAACCCUCAAAGAAUUUCAUGAAAUUGGGGCAUGAAAGUGAAAAACCCUAUUUCUUUCUUUAUUGGGAGAAAAUCGCCUCUUUUCGUAUUUUUAACUAAGUGUUGGAUUUUUGGAGUGAGUGAGAGGAUAAGUGUCAUGAACUAAAACAGUGCCUAGUUGUGACGGGUAUCUCAAGCUCACCAUGAGCUGGAGACCACCCCCUAAGCCUAACAUCCAGAACACAAUAAAAGAAUAUAGCGGAAGAUAACCAAACAUGACUAUAUGAAAAAUAGAUAGACUAAACAAGAACUAAGACUCAAAACAAACAAACAACCAAAAUUUGUCCACAAAAGACUCUAAAACUAGAAAUACCAACUAAGUCGGGACAUUCCCUCGACUAUGACCGAAAGAAUCCAAAAUAAAAUACUAAACAAUACUGAAAAUAAUAAAGAAACCAACAAAAUGACAAGACCUUUCCAAAGAUUGCGGCUCACCACUUCAUAAAUGAUCCAUAGGAAUCACGAAUAACCUAAUUCAGCAUGGGUAUAAUACCAUGAGUCUUCAUGUUCUAAGCCUCUCAAAAGAAUGGCCAUUUAGUUAGCAUUCCAAUUUCACAAGCCCUACCCUAAUCCGACAUCGUGUCAAAAAGUUAUGAAAGUUUCUCCCUAGGAGUUUGUCAGCUCUUAGUGACCACGACUCACUUGAUGACUCGUAACCAUACCUUACGAGUCAUUACAAAGAGUCGUAGUCACAAAAGUAAGGGUCCCAAGUUUCAACCCAGUGAUGGCGACUCAACCCUACGAUUUGUUACUAGACGUUAUGAGUUGUAAGAAAGAACUCAUUAUCAUAAUAGCGUAUGCCCAAGAAUCCAGUCCAGUGGUCACUAGUCCAGCAUACGACUCAUCAUCAGACCUUACGAGUUAUUGUGUGGACUCAUCACUUGACCAAUGUAUGAUCCAAGGACCAAGCCUCAGACUACGACUUCACCCAAUGACUCGUAUUUAGUCAUUAUGAGUCUUUAGGUGGCAAGUCAUAGUCAUAAGAGAAUGUACCCAGGAUCCUAGGUUACGACUCAGGCCACGAGUCGUAACUAGUCGUAACAUAUCGUGGGGUGAGUCUUAACAACUGGGAGUGAGUUUUCCUACACGUAUUUCUAGGGACUUUUAUAUCUUUUCCCACUCCCUUAAAAACCAAACCCAUAUUGUUAUGGAUUCCCAAAGGGUGGUAUAAAAGACCCAAAUUCCCCAAUUCAUGACAUAAUCAUAAACUUCACCCAACAAAGAUCAAAAGAGACAAUAUUCCAAUCUUCCUCAAGCAACUAGGGUUCCUCAAGGGAAAGGUCAAAUCCAAGAAAUUCUCCAAAGAUUCCACUCUCAGGUAAGUGGGAUUUCAUCAAUGAUCCCUUUCACCCAUUGAGUCCUAAGAAUUCCCUAUUCUUACAAGUAUAAACCCUUUUUUCUCUUUUAUGGAAUUUCAAAGAAAACAUGAAGUGACAUAAAUCUCUCUCAAUUUAUCGAAUACAAACCAUGAGAAUAUGUUUCCCUUGUGAAUUAUGUUUCUAUACAUUUGAUAAUCUUAGUCACCCAUACCAUGUUCAGUUGAUGCCAUGUCGAGUAAUAUUUACGAUUUUCCAUCUCAUGAUUACUUUAUCAUCAUCACGAUCAGUUGCAUUAGUCUAUGCUGGUGGGUUAUAAAUACUCGAUACCUAGUUGUGACGGGUAUCUCAAGCUCACCAUGAGCUGGAGACCACCCCCUAAGCCUAACAUCCAGAACACAAUAAAAGAAUACAGCGGAAGAUAACCAAACAUGACUAUAUGAAAAAUAGAUAGACUAAACAAGAACUAAGACUCAAAACAAACAAACAACCAAAAUUUGUCCACAAAAGACUCUAAAACUAGAAAUACCAACUAAGUCGGGACAUUCCCUCGACUAUGACCGAAAGAAUCCAAAAUAAAAUACUAAACAAUACUGAAAAUAAUAAAGAAACCAACAAAAUGACAAGACCUUUCCAAAGAUUGCAGCUCACCACUUCAUAAAUGAUCCAUAGGAAUAACGAAUAACCUAAUUCAGCAUAGAUAUAAUACCGUGAGUCUUCAUGUUCUAAGCCUCUCAAAAGAUUGGCCAUUAGUUAGCAUUCCAAUUUCACAAGCCCUACCCUAAUCCGACAUCAUGUCAAAAAGUUAUGAAAGUUUCUCCCUAGGAGUUUGUCAGCUCUUAGUGACCACGACUCACUUGAUGACUCGUAACCAUACCUUACGAGUCAUUACAAAGAGUCGUAGUCACAAAAGUAAGGGUCCCAAGUUUCAACCCAGUGAUGGCGACUCAACCCUAUGAUUUGUUACCAGACGUUAUGAGUUGUAAGAAAGAACUCAUUAUCAUAAUAGCGUAUGCCCAAGAAUCCAGUCCAAUGGUCACUAGUCCAGCAUACGACUCAUCAUCAGACCUUACGAGUUAUUGUAUGGACUCAUCACUUGACCAAUGUAUGAUCCAAGGACCAAGCCUCAGACUACGACUUCACCCAACGACUCGUAUUUAGUCAUUAUGAGUCUUUAGGUGGCGAGUCAUAGUCAUAAGAGAAUGUACCCAGGAUCCUAGGUUACGACUCAGGCCACGAGUCGUAACUAGUCGUAACAUAUCGUGGGGUGAGUCUUAACAACUGGGAGUGAGUUUUCCUACACGUAUUUCUAGGGACUUUUAUAUCUUUUCCCACUCCCUUAAAAACCAAACCCAUAUUGUUAUGGAUUCCCAAAGGGUGGUAUAAAAGACCCAAAUUCCCCAAUUCAUGACAUAAUCAUAAACUUCACCCAACAGAGAUCAAAAGAGACAAUUUUCCAAUCUUCCUCAAGCAACUAGGGUUCCUCAAGGGAAAGGUCAAAUCCAAGAAAUUUUCCAAAGAUUCCACUCUCAGGUAAGUGGGAUUUCAUCAAUGAUCCCUUUCACCCAUUGAGUCCUAAGAAUUCCCUAUUCUUACAAGUAUAAACCCUUUUUUCUCUUUUAUGGAAUUUCAAAGAAAACAUGAAGUGACAUAAAUCUCUCUCAAUUUAUCGAAUACAAACCAUGAGAAUAUGUUUCCCUUGUGAAUUAUGUUUCUAUACAUUUGAUGAUCUUAGUCACCCAUACCAUGUUCAGUUGAUGCCAUGUCGAGUAAUAUUUACGAUUUUCCAUCUCAUGAUUACUUUAUCAUCACCACGAUCAGUUGCAUCAGUCUAUGCUGGUGGGUUAUAAAUACUCGAUACCUAGUAAUUAUGCAUGUUACAAUUUUCAGGUUACAAAUCAUUUAGAUUAUACUUGUAUCAUUAUCAUUUAGAACAUUAUCAUGAUAAGCAUUUAUCAAUAUCAGAUUAUGUUAAGUGAAUAUCAGCACUCAUGUUAUUCAGUUGGGAGUAAUACUUAGCACCGAGUAAAUGCAAGAAUGAUGGCUCCCCCAUCAGUUAGGCAUGAGACUGUUGGUAGCAGUCCCUGAGUUCCAGAACUACGUUGCUACCAUAGGUUAUGAGGAUUCCCCAACCAGAAGAGAGAAGAGACAUGACACACUAGUCCUUCAAGAUAUCAUAUUAGUGGAUCCACGCCAGCCAGUAUUGGUACCCUAGUGUUCACAAUAGGUACCAGAUCAUGGAUUAGCUUGGGGUUACUCAUGACUUUAAGAACCAUGUUUUGACUAGGGGAUAGCCUCGUGUCGUGACAACAGGAGCAACAGAAAAUUCUUCAAACCCCACAUCAUGAGGUCCAAAUGCACAGGCUCCAGAUCACACUUAGCAGUUCAGAUAAUUAGCAGCAACUACAGUGGUUUUAAUGACUCAUGGGGCUAUGGUAACUUUCUUUCCAAUUGAGGUUGUUGGUUCUAUCAUCAGAUUCUUGUGAUUAAUGAGCAGCUAUCUCCAACUUAGAGAAAUAUUGAUUAUGUUCCAUAUGAUUAAUCACCCUUUCUUGAUAAUUUGUCUUAUCCAGCUGUAAUUUAUCCUUCUUAUUGUAUUUUGCCUUAUUAGAUAUAUCAUUGGACUGAUGUAUUUGGAAUCCCAUAGCUGAUAAUAUGUCUUAUCCCGUUUUGCUUUUA